UACGUAGGCAGCAAGCGUUGUUCGGAGUUACUGGGCGUAAAGGGUGUGUAGGCGGUUGUUUAAGGUUGGGGUGAAAUCUCCCGGCUCAACUGGGAGGGUGCGCCGAAUACUGAAUGACUUCGAGUACGGGAGAGGAGAGUGGAAUUCCUGGUGUAGCGGUGAAAUGCGUAGAUAUCAGGAGGAACACCGGUGGUGUAGACGGCUUUCUGGACCGUAACUGACGCUGAGACACGAAAGCGUGGGUAGCAAACAGG
Molecule: ribosomal RNA, 254 nt
Filed under: uncultured bacterium
Lineage: Bacteria
Description: partial 16S ribosomal RNA
Rfam family: Bacterial small subunit ribosomal RNA
Source: RNAcentral